GCGGCUAUAGUUUAACGGUAGAAUAAUGGUGCGCUACAUCAUUGAUACGAGUUCGAUUCUCGUUAGUCGCUC
Molecule: transfer RNA, 72 nt
Filed under: compost metagenome
Description: tRNA-Ser
Rfam family: tRNA
About the family: Transfer RNA (tRNA) molecules are approximately 80 nucleotides in length.
Source: RNAcentral